GACGAACGCUGGCGGCGUGCUUAACACAUGCAAGUCGAACGGAAAGGCCCUGCUUUUGUGGGGUGCUCGAGUGGCGAACGGGUGAGUAACACGUGAGUAACCUGCCCUUGACUUUGGGAUAACUUCAGGAAACUGGGGCUAAUACCGGAUAGGAGCUCCUGCUGCAUGGUGGGGGUUGGAAAGUUUCGGCGGUUGGGGAUGGACUCGCGGCUUAUCAGCUUGUUGGUGGGGUAGUGGCUUACCAAGGCUUUAACGGGUAGCCGGCCUGAGAGGGUGACCGGCCACAUUGGGACUGAGAUACGGCCCAGACUCCUACGGGAGGCAGCAGUGGGGAAUAUUGCACAAUGGGCGGAAGCCUGAUGCAGCAACGCCGCGUGCGGGAUGAUGGCCUUCGGGUUGUAAACCGCUUUCGCCUGUGACGAAGCGUGAGUGACGGUAAUGGGUAAAGAAGCACCGGCUAACUACGUG
Molecule: ribosomal RNA, 468 nt
Filed under: uncultured bacterium
Lineage: Bacteria
Description: partial 16S ribosomal RNA
Rfam family: Bacterial small subunit ribosomal RNA
Source: RNAcentral